RNAcentral lists this unclassified non-coding RNA (379 nucleotides) under uncultured Oligoflexales bacterium. Its description in RNAcentral is "contains 16S-23S intergenic spacer region". The record is from RNAcentral. Lineage: Bacteria; Pseudomonadati; Bdellovibrionota; Oligoflexia; Oligoflexales.
UCCGUGUUAACCACGGCAGUCUCCUUAGAGAGCCCAACUUAAUGCUGGCAACUAAGAACAAGGGUUGCGCUCGUUGCGGGACUUAACCCAACAUGUCACCACACGAGCUGACGACAGCCAUGCAGCACCUGUCUCCCGGCUGUAUUGCUACAGAAACCGUAUCUCUACGGCUGUCCGGGGAUGUCAAACCCAGGUAAGGUUUUUCGCGUUGCUUCGAAUUAAACCACAUGAUCCACCGCUUGUGCGGGCCCCCGUCAAUUCCUUUGAGUUUUAGUCUUGCGACCGUACUUCCCAGGCGGGGUACUUAGUGCGUUAGCGCCGAUUCGGCGGGGGUCAAGACCCACCAAAUCUAGUACCCAUCGUUUACAGCGUGGACUAC